This 194-nucleotide ribosomal RNA is filed under the name uncultured Glomus. RNAcentral's name for it is "partial 18S ribosomal RNA". It matches the Rfam family "Eukaryotic small subunit ribosomal RNA", at positions 569 to 766 of the family's 1831-position model. Lineage: Eukaryota; Fungi; Glomeromycota; Glomeromycetes; Glomerales; Glomeraceae. The record is from RNAcentral.
AGCAGCCGCGGUAAUUCCAGCUCCAAUAGCGUAUAUUAAAGUUGUUGCAGUUAAAAAGCUCGUAGUUGAAUUUCGAGACCGGCUUACUGGUCGUGCUAUUGUACGUACUGGUAUAAUCGGUUUCUCCUUUCUGACGAACUAUAAUGCCAUUAAUUUGGUGUUUUAGGGAAUCAGGACUGUUACUUUGAAAAAAU